AGUGAACGCUGGCGGUAGGCCUAACACAUGCAAGUCGAACGGCAGCACAGUAAGAGCUUGCUCUUACGGGUGGCGAGUGGCGGACGGGUGAGGAAUACAUCGGAAUCUACUUUUUCGUGGGGGAUAACGUAGGGAAACUUACGCUAAUACCGCAUACGACCUACGGGUGAAAGCAGGGGAUCUUCGGACCUUGCGCGAUUGAAUGAGCCGAUGUCGGAUUAGCUAGUUGGCGGGGUAAAGGCCCGCCAAGGCGACGAUCCGUAGCUGGUCUGAGAGGAUGAUCAGCCACACUGGAACUGAGACACGGUCCAGACUCCUACGGGAGGCAGCAGUGGGGAAUAUUGGACAAUGGGCGCAAGCCUGAUCCAGCCAUACCGCGUGGGUGAAGAAGGCCUUCGGGUUGUAAAGCCCUUUUGUUGGGAAAGAAAGGCAGCAGGUUAAUACCCCGCUGUUCUGACGGUACCCAAAGAAUAAGCACCGGCUAACUUCGUG
RNAcentral lists this ribosomal RNA (492 nucleotides) under uncultured bacterium. Its description in RNAcentral is "partial 16S ribosomal RNA". It matches the Rfam family "Bacterial small subunit ribosomal RNA", at positions 29 to 507 of the family's 1533-position model. The record is from RNAcentral.